UACGUAGGUGGCAAGCGUUGUCCGGAAUUAUUGGGCGUAAAGGGCGCGUAGGCGGCCUCCGCAAGUCAGUUGUGAAAUCUCCGGGCUUAACCCGGAAAGGUCAACUGAUACUGCGGGGCUAGAGUGCAGAAGGGGCAACCGGAAUUCUCGGUGUAGCGGUGAAAUGCGUAGAUAUCGAGAGGAACACCUGCGGCGAAGGCGGGUUGCUGGGCUGACACUGACGCUGAAGCGCGAAAGCUAGGGGAGCGAACGGG
RNAcentral lists this ribosomal RNA (254 nucleotides) under uncultured bacterium. Its description in RNAcentral is "partial 16S ribosomal RNA". It matches the Rfam family "Bacterial small subunit ribosomal RNA", at positions 524 to 776 of the family's 1533-position model. The record is from RNAcentral.